GACGAACGCUGGCGGCGCGCCUAACACAUGCAAGUUGAACGAGCAAAGAGGAGCUUGCUUCUCUGAGCGAGUGGCGAACGGGUGAGUAACGCGUGAGGAACCUGCCUCAAAGAGGGGGACAACAGUUGGAAACGACUGCUAAUACCGCAUAAGCCCACGGGUCGGCAUCGACCAGAGGGAAAAGGAGCAAUCCGCUUUGAGAUGGCCUCGCGUCCGAUUAGCUAGUUGGUGAGGUAAUGGCCCACCAAGGCGACGAUCGGUAGCCGGACUGAGAGGUUGAACGGCCACAUUGGGACUGAGACACGGCCCAGACUCCUACGGGAGGCAGCAGUGGGGAAUAUUGCACAAUGGGGGAAACCCUGAUGCAGCGACGCCGCGUGGAGGAAGAAGGUCUUCGGAUUGUAAACUCCUGUUGU
RNAcentral lists this ribosomal RNA (416 nucleotides) under uncultured bacterium. RNAcentral's name for it is "bacterial SSU rRNA". It matches the Rfam family "Bacterial small subunit ribosomal RNA", at positions 28 to 439 of the family's 1533-position model. The record is from RNAcentral.